Long non-coding RNA from Uranotaenia lowii, 997 nucleotides. RefSeq lists it as uncharacterized. NCBI's taxonomy places the organism in Eukaryota, Metazoa, Arthropoda, Insecta, Diptera, Culicidae. The record is from RefSeq and is a predicted model, not a curated record. The transcript is spliced from 4 exons.
CCAUGAAUUUCCAAAUUGUACAUUAGAAGAUUUAAAGAUGUUUGGCAUCUCUGGAAAAGCAACGUCAAAAAGAGCGCGCGCACGUUUGUUUGUUUUGUUUCUGUUCUGUGUUUUGCCGGAAUUGCUACGCUAGAAAAGAUACGGUACGAGUGUGAACGACUUCCUGGCGGCCAGAGUGAAUUACCAUUCUCGAUCGAAUCUUGCCGUUGUAAUGUGUAAUAAAAUCAACGUUUUGGAGAUGGUUAGGUGUUUAUCGAAUACCUGCAAUAUGCUACAAACGUUGCAUGUUCCGAAUUGUCAGCAUGGAAGAAUCGGAAAACCAAAUCGGAAGAAUGACUUUAAUAAGGAGCAAGGCAAUCUGUUUCAAAAUGCAUCCGUCUUUACCCGGAAACCCACCUUUUUUGUUCUUUUGGGCGAUUUUUGGCUACGACAAUCUAGCUCCUCUAACCACAACCCCCAGGAUGAGAACUUACCACCAAUCAGAGAGCAGUCCACCAAGGCCUGUUGCAUCGCAAAGGGAAGAAAUACCAUGUAAUAGACUUUGACGUUCCUGACACCAGAUCCAGCAGCCUGACAGUGAAAACUUUCGGUUACAGAAAAUGGAGUUCUAGAAUCUAGAGCUAGAAAGAAAGGUGCUGCUAAUAUUGCACCUAGGGCAGUCACAGCACCAGGAGGACACAGUGUCAAAAAAAUCGGGAUACAAAUUCGAAAGUUUCGUUUUUAGAAUGCCACGGCCAUGUAUCCCACACGAACAUCUUCCCAAAUCAUUUUGGUGCUGGAGGCCUGAUUUUGGUACGACUCUCGGGACAAAUUGAGAUCGUGCUAAAGGAAGAUAAAAUCGAGCAGCAAUUGAAGCUUAUCGGAAUAAUUGAAGGACAUUAACCGAACAAAAAAAAAGGUGGAUGUUAUCAUUAUGAAACGGUUAAUUGAGGUUAUGCUUUUAAAUUAUUUACAUUAAUAAAUCAAUUCCGUAUCAAUUAUGUGACUUUCAUUUUUA